This 629-nucleotide ribosomal RNA is filed under the name Burkholderia sp. UFLA82. RNAcentral's name for it is "bacterial SSU rRNA". It matches the Rfam family "Bacterial small subunit ribosomal RNA", at positions 66 to 691 of the family's 1533-position model. The record is from RNAcentral. Lineage: Bacteria; Pseudomonadati; Pseudomonadota; Betaproteobacteria; Burkholderiales; Burkholderiaceae.
GCAGCACGGGUGCUUGCACCUGGUGGCGAGUGGCGAACGGGUGAGUAAUACAUCGGAACAUGUCCUGUAGUGGGGGAUAGCCCGGCGAAAGCCGGAUUAAUACCGCAUACGAUCUACGGAUGAAAGCGGGGGACCUUCGGGCCUCGCGCUAUAGGGUUGGCCGAUGGCUGAUUAGCUAGUUGGUGGGGUAAAGGCCUACCAAGGCGACGAUCAGUAGCUGGUCUGAGAGGACGACCAGCCACACUGGGACUGAGACACGGCCCAGACUCCUACGGGAGGCAGCAGUGGGGAAUUUUGGACAAUGGGCGAAAGCCUGAUCCAGCAAUGCCGCGUGUGUGAAGAAGGCCUUCGGGUUGUAAAGCACUUUUGUCCGGAAAGAAAUCCUUGGCUCUAAUACAGUCGGGGGAUGACGGUACCGGAAGAAUAAGCACCGGCUAACUACGUGCCAGCAGCCGCGGUAAUACGUAGGGUGCAAGCGUUAAUCGGAAUUACUGGGCGUAAAGCGUGCGCAGGCGGUUUGCUAAGACCGAUGUGAAAUCCCCGGGCUCAACCUGGGAACUGCAUUGGUGACUGGCAGGCUAGAGUAUGGCAGAGGGGGGUAGAAUUCCACGUGUAGCAGUGAAAUGCGU